This 265-nucleotide ribosomal RNA is filed under the name uncultured bacterium. RNAcentral describes it as "partial 16S ribosomal RNA". It matches the Rfam family "Bacterial small subunit ribosomal RNA", at positions 793 to 1055 of the family's 1533-position model. The record is from RNAcentral.
GUCCACGCUGUAAACGAUGGAUACUAGGUGCUGCGGGUAUUGACCCCUGCGGUGCCGGCGCUAACGCAAUAAGUAUCCCGCCUGGGAAGUACGGCCGCAAGGCUAAAACUCAAAGGAAUUGACGGGGGCCCGCACAAGCGGUGGAGUAUGUGGUUUAAUUCGACGCAACGCGCAGAACCUUACCCAGGCUUGACAUUGAUGGAACCUACCCGAAAAGGUGGGGUGCCCUUCGGGGCCCAGAAAACAGGUGCUGCAUGGCUGUCGU